CGGGGUGAGUAACACGUGGGUAACCUGCCUUGUACAGGGGGAUAACAGUUGGAAACGGCUGCUAAUACCGCAUAAGCGCACGGCAUCGCAUGAUGCAGUGUGAAAAACUCCGGUGGUAUAAGAUGGACCCGCGUUGGAUUAGCUAGUUGGUGAGGUAACGGCCCACCAAGGCGACGAUCCAUAGCCGACCUGAGAGGGUGACCGGCCACAUUGGGACUGAGACACGGCCCAA
This 232-nucleotide ribosomal RNA is filed under the name uncultured bacterium. Its description in RNAcentral is "partial 16S ribosomal RNA". It matches the Rfam family "Bacterial small subunit ribosomal RNA", at positions 104 to 334 of the family's 1533-position model. The record is from RNAcentral.